AAAGAAAAAGUGUGAAUUUUCAAGGAAAUUAAGUGAAAAAGAUUAUGGAUAGGUGGUGAGUCAAUUGUUUCGGGUAAGAGACUGCACCCGAGGGCGGAAGAUAGGAGUAUUUCUACUCCUAAUAUUGCUCAGGACAGUUUGUAGAUAGUCGAGUAGGACGAGAACUA
Theobroma cacao (cacao) is the source of this 167-nucleotide non-coding RNA. The record is from RefSeq and is a predicted model, not a curated record. Lineage: Eukaryota; Viridiplantae; Streptophyta; Magnoliopsida; Malvales; Malvaceae.